UACGUAGGGGGCUAGCGUUGUCCGGAUUUAUUGGGCGUAAAGGGCGCGUAGGCGGCCACCGCAAGUCGACUGUGAAAUCUCCGGGCUUAACCCGGAAAGGUCAGCCGAUACUGCGGGGCUAGAGUGCAGAAGGGGCAACUGGAAUUCUCGGUGUAGCGGUGAAAUGCGUAGAUAUCGAGAGGAACACCUGCGGCGAAGGCGGGUUGCUGGGCUGACACUGACGCUGAUGUGCGAAAGCUAGGGGAGCGAACGGG
RNAcentral lists this ribosomal RNA (254 nucleotides) under uncultured bacterium. RNAcentral's name for it is "partial 16S ribosomal RNA". It matches the Rfam family "Bacterial small subunit ribosomal RNA", at positions 524 to 776 of the family's 1533-position model. The record is from RNAcentral.